This 599-nucleotide long non-coding RNA is filed under the name Capsicum annuum. RNAcentral's name for it is "long non-coding RNA (CANN_LNC014325)". The record is from RNAcentral. Lineage: Eukaryota; Viridiplantae; Streptophyta; Magnoliopsida; Solanales; Solanaceae.
UGUAUUUUGAUAAGUUUUGCAACUUAUCUUUAUCACCCAUCAUAUGGCUCGAGCAACCUGAGUCAAUGAUCCAGUCAUUUUCAUAAUCGAUUUUACUAGAUAUUAUUAUUGUAAGGGCUAACUCCUCCUCUUCAGCAGCAAAGGAUGCCUCCGUAUCCCAUUCUUCUUCACUGUUGGAGGUAACGACAUUACCUUCCAUAGAUUUUUCCUUCGACCGAUAGGUCUUUUCCAUGUGUCCCUUUUUCCCAUAUUUGUAACACUUCCCUUUAAAUCUUUUCUUGUUUUCAUAUUUCUUCGAGCCUCCCCCUUCACUAGUUCUUCAUUCACCUUGAUGAUCCUUUGAUUCGUUAUCAUUUUUCUUGGAUCCAUCAUUCUUUUGCUGUUUGAAAUUCCACUUGUUUUUAUUGGCAUAGAGUUCCUCUUCUUUAUUCUUUAGUGAGAGUCCUCCCAUUUGUUUAGCUAAUGCUCCUUGACCAGCUAACAAAUUCUCAAAAUCUACAAAUGAUGGUUGAUUUUGCCAUCCCUGUACUGCAGUGACAAAGCUUCUGUAUUUUAACUUUAGACUGUGGAUGAUAAUUCAUUUUAUCCUAUAGUCUCAU